Cyprinus carpio (common carp) is the source of this 918-nucleotide long non-coding RNA. The record is from Ensembl. NCBI's taxonomy places the organism in Eukaryota, Metazoa, Chordata, Actinopteri, Cypriniformes, Cyprinidae.
CUAAAAUUAAGUGCACCACCCUCUCUUUUAGUUCUCUUCUUCUUGGCUUAAGGUACAGAGAGAUAGGCAUCACUUGUCUUGCAGUAAAACUGAUUACCAGAGAUUAGCUAAUCCUCUGUAGCAAUGUGUCCAGGAAGUUUUUAAGAUGUUCCUAAAGAUGUCACAAACUGCAGUGACUUUUGGGGAUUUGCAAAAAACUGCAGUGAACUCUUGGGGAUUUUAAGAAUUACAGCUUGACUAAAUAUUGUAAUGUCCUUAAGGUUUGUGUGCACAAUGAGUAAAAAGGUAAUAUGCCAAAACUCUCUGAUGAGUCCAUUCGAGUGCAUUUGUUGGACUGGGAUAAAUCUUUCAGAACAUCAAGAAGACUCAGUGAAUUGCAGGACUGUAAAAUACGGUACCACCCUAAAAUGAAUAGUCUCAUAUUAUUGACCAUGCUGUGGCUCAAUCCCUCUGGAGCUGUAAGUAAAUGUUGUUUUUGAAUGAUGCUUCUACUCUCAUAGUAGUUUAUAUCACAUCUUAUAAUUCUGGUGUGAUGUAAAUGAGCAGCCCUGCUUAUUUAAGCCUUUAGAAUGGAAUCAAACAACAUCAUAUGAUACUUUAUUAAAUGACAAUGAUUACAAUAUUGUGAACUCGUGUCAUGCUUAUUUCCUCACAGCUGUGCCACCGUCAUAAACCCUGGAGCUCCUCUGGCAGUGAUGAGUCCCUGCCCCAGCCUCGGCUCCGGUUCCGGCUCCUGCCCCACUCCGAUUCCAGCCACAGCCCUGGCUCCCACAGCCACACCCAGCCCCCCAGUCGUCAACACCACUGUCCGUGGAGAUGGUCCACCGUAGGGCAGGAGUCCGUUUGGAGCCGAACAAUGACAUUAAAGUACCCUUGAGAUUUUAAGUAAUGCUUUCAAUAAACAUAAUGAAUAUCACA